RNAcentral lists this ribosomal RNA (460 nucleotides) under uncultured bacterium. RNAcentral describes it as "partial 16S ribosomal RNA". It matches the Rfam family "Bacterial small subunit ribosomal RNA", at positions 338 to 795 of the family's 1533-position model. The record is from RNAcentral.
CCUACGGGGGGCAGCAGUGAGGAAUAUUGGUCAAUGGACGAGAGUCUGAACCAGCCAAGUAGCGUGAAGGAUGACUGCCCUAUGGGUUGUAAACUUCUUUUAUAAAGGAAUAAAACGAGGCACGUGUGCCUUUUUGCAUGUACUUUAUGAAUAAGGAUCGGCUAACUCCGUGCCAGCAGCCGCGGUAAUACGGAGGAUCCGAGCGUUAUCCGGAUUUAUUUGGUUUAAAGGGAGCGUAGAUGGGUUGUUAAGUCAGUUGUGAAAGUUUGCGGCUCAACCGUAAAAUUGCAAUUGAUACUGGCAGUCUUGAGUACAGUUGAGGUAGGCAGAAUUCGUGGUGUAGCGGUGAAAUGCGUAGAGAUCACGAAGAACCCCGAUUGCGAAGGCAGCUUACUAAACUGUGACUGACAUUGAUGCUCGAAAGUGUGGGUAUCAAACAGGAUUAGAUACCCGUGUAGUC